GCAAAAUACUCAAUUGAAAACGGAUAAUAGAGCACAAGAACUUUCGCAAAUUACUCGUUCAUUAAAAAAUCUUGCACGUGAAUUUAACAUUCCAAUUAUUGCCUUAUCACAAUUAAGUCGAAGUGUUGAAAAUCGACCUAAUAAACGGCCGAUUCUAUCAGAUUUACGAGAAAGUGGUUCGAUUGAACAAGAUGCUGAUUUAGUUCUAAUGCUAUAUCGGGAAAGUUAUUAUUUAACGAAUGAUGAGAAUCGUUCACAAAAUAAUUCUGAUUUAGUUGAAUUAAUUAUUACUAAACAACGAAAUGGUCCAAUUGGAACCGUUGAGUUACUAUUUGAUUCUAGUCGAACGAAAUUUAGAAAUCUUGAAUAAAUGCCCAGAACCAGAUUCGAACUGGUGACACGAGGAUCUUCAAUCCACUGCUCUACCAACUGAGCUAUCCGGGCUUAAUAAAUAUUAUAAUAUAAGAAGCCAAAAAUAACAAUACAUGUUUUAAUAAUUAAUAGUUGAUUAUUUCUCUAAAAUUUAGUAUUCUAUAUAUUGGGUAUAGUUUUUGAUAAAAUUUUAAUCAAGCUUAUUUUGUCAGGAUCGUAAGAUAGCAGCAUAAAGUUUGUCUUAAAUAUUUGUAUUAAUGCUAUACCUUUUAGUUUU
RNAcentral lists this transfer RNA (649 nucleotides) under Chaetoceros tenuissimus. RNAcentral describes it as "ffs". Lineage: Eukaryota; Bacillariophyta; Thalassiosirophyceae; Chaetocerotales; Chaetocerotaceae. The record is from RNAcentral.